This 209-nucleotide ribosomal RNA is filed under the name uncultured bacterium. RNAcentral's name for it is "partial 16S ribosomal RNA". It matches the Rfam family "Bacterial small subunit ribosomal RNA", at positions 568 to 774 of the family's 1533-position model. The record is from RNAcentral.
UCCGUAGGUGGUUUGUCAAGUCUGUUCGUCAAAGAAUGGAGCUUAACUCCAUAAAGGCGGUGGAAACUGAGAGACUAGAGUUCGGUAGGGGUAGCGGGAAUUCCCAGUGUAGCGGUGAAAUGCGUAGAUAUUGGGAAAGAACAUCGGUGGCGAAAGCGCGCUACUGGGCCGAAACUGACACUGAGGGACGAAAGCUAGGGUAGCGAAAG